Molecule: ribosomal RNA, 428 nt
Filed under: uncultured bacterium
Lineage: Bacteria
Description: partial 16S ribosomal RNA
Rfam family: Bacterial small subunit ribosomal RNA
Source: RNAcentral
GUGGGGAAUAUUGGGCAAUGGGCGAAAGCCUGACCCAGCAACGCCGCGUGAAGGAAGAAGGUUUUCGGAUUGUAAACUUCUGUCCUCAGGGAAGAAGGAAGUGACGGUACCUGAGGAGGAAGCCCCGGCUAACUACGUGCCAGCAGCCGCGGUAAUACGUAGGGGGCGAGCGUUGUCCGGAAUGACUGGGCGUAAAGGGCGCGUAGACGGCUGUCUAAGUCUGGAGUGAAAGUCCUGCUUUCAAGGUGGGAAUUGCUUUGGAGACUGGAUGGCUUGAGUGCGGAAGAGGUAAGUGGAAUUCCCAGUGUAGCGGUGAAAUGCGUAGAGAUUGGGAGGAACACCAGUGGCGAAGGCGACUUACUGGGCCGUAACUGACGUUGAUGCGCGAAAGCGUGGGGAGCGAACAGGAUUAGAUACCCGGGUAGUCC